CUUCCCUUGAUGAAAGAUCCUGGCUCAACAGACUGAGCUGCCUCACAAAAUAUAUAUAUGUCUGAAAUACAAGAAGCUCGCACUGACAAAGAAAAAGCCAAAAAUAAAAUAAAGGCAGCUAGCUUGAUGACAAGCUGGCAUGUUCAAAUUUGAGGCUCAAAUUCAAUGUGAAUCACAACCAUGUGAAUCUUACUCUGUUUCAGAAUUGAAGCAGAACUCAGAUCCUGCAAACAGAACUAUGUGGCCUUGAUUUACACAUGUGUGUGGAGACUUGCUCCAGUCCAUGGGGUCACUUGCUCAUGUGCAGAGCUACAUGUGGACUGGAUUAUCUAGGCAUUUGUGCAAAGAAAGAGCCUUUUGGACAUCUGAAAAUUAUGCACUAGUGAAGGAGUGAUCCAGGUGAAGGAGUGAUAAAGUGGCUGCAUGACUCUUGGAGUGCCAAGAGGCAGCAAGACAGCAGUGAGAGCUGGACAUCAUUAAAGCAUCAUCUCUGUGAGCAGAAGCUCCAUUUCCUGGCUGAAGCUCAAGGCGCUGAAAAUCUGGGAAAGAAAAAAGGCUAACCUUAACGCACCAACCUAUAGAUGUUUUGUAAACAGACUGAUAGGUACCUCAUUCUUCUAAAUGUUUAUGUAGCCUUUGAUAUUCACUUUCUUUUAUCUGUUUGUGGGAAGAAUUUACAAUGAUUUGCACAUUUUCAGAGCACAUAGUCUAGUUUUAUCCCAUCUAAUGUAACUUUGUGAACUCCCUAUACUCUUCUCAUUCAAUUGUAUAUUUUCCUUUUGAAGCCUAUUUAAAUUUUUACUUGUUCUAUUAAAACCCAC
Molecule: long non-coding RNA, 821 nt
Filed under: Zonotrichia albicollis (white-throated sparrow)
Lineage: Eukaryota; Metazoa; Chordata; Aves; Passeriformes; Passerellidae
Description: lncRNA (ENSZALG00000011045.1)
Source: RNAcentral